CCUACGGGGGGCAGCAGUGAGGAAUAUUGGUCAAUGGACGAGAGUCUGAACCAGCCAAGUAGCGUGAGGGAUGACUGCCCUAUGGGUUGUAAACUUCUUUUAUAAAGGAAUAAAACGAGGCACGUGUGCCUUUUUGCAUGUACUUUAUGAAUAAGGAUCGGCUAACUCCGUGCCAGCAGCCGCGGUAAUACGGAGGAUCCGAGCGUUAUCCGGAUUUUUUGGGUUUAAAGGGAGCGUAGAUGGGUUGGUAAGUCAGUGGUGAAAGUUUGCGGCUCAACCGUAAAAUUGCAAUUGAUACUGGCAGUCUUGAGUACAGUUGAGGUAAGCGGAAUUCGUGGUGUAGCGGUGAAAUGCUUAGAUAUCACGAAGAACCCCGAUUGCGAAGGCAGCUUACUAAACUGUGACUGACAUUGAUGCUCGAAAGUGUGGGUAUCAAACAGGAUUAGAUACCCGAGUAGUC
RNAcentral lists this ribosomal RNA (460 nucleotides) under uncultured bacterium. RNAcentral's name for it is "partial 16S ribosomal RNA". It matches the Rfam family "Bacterial small subunit ribosomal RNA", at positions 338 to 795 of the family's 1533-position model. The record is from RNAcentral.